AGGUUUGAUCCUGGCUCAGAUUGAACGCUGGCGGUAUGCUUAACACAUGCAAGUCGAACGGUAGCAGGCCUUCGGGCGCUGACGAGUGGCGGACGGGUGAGUAACGCGUAGGAAUCUGCCUCAUAGUGGGGGACAACGUGGGGAAACUCACGCUAAUACCGCAUACGCCCUACGGGGGAAAGCGGGGGAUCGCAAGACCUCGCGCUAUGAGAUGAGCCUGCGUUAGAUUAGCUAGUUGGUAGGGUAAAGGCCUACCAAGGCGACGAUCUAUAGCUGGUCUGAGAGGACGAUCAGCCACACUGGGACUGAGACACGGCCCAGACUCCUACGGGAGGCAGCAGUGGGGAAUAUUGGACAAUGGGCGCAAGCCUGAUCCAGCAAUACCGCGUGUGUGAAGAAGGCCUUAGGGUUGUAAAGCACUUUCAAUGGGGAGGAAAACCUGCCGGUCAAUACCCGGUAGCUUGACAUUACCUGUAGAAGAAGCACCGGCUAACUCCGUGCCAGCAGCCGCGGUAAUACGGAGGGUGCGAGCGUUAAUCGGAAUUACUGGGCGUAAAGCGUGCGUAGGCGGUUCGUUAAGUCAGAUGUGAAAGCCCCGGGCUCAACCUGGGAACUGCAUUUGAAACUGGCGGACUAGAGUUUAGUAGAGGGGAGUGGAAUUUCAGGUGUAGCGGUGAAAUGCGUAGAUAUCUGAAGGAACACCAGUGGCGAAGGCGACUCCCUGGACUAGAACUGACGCUGAGGUACGAAAGCGUGGGUAGCAAACAGGAUUAGAUACCCUGGUAGUCCACGCCGUAAACGAUGUCAACUAGCCGUUGGUCCUAUUUACAGGAUUAGUGGCGCAGCUAACGCAUUAAGUUGGCCGCCUGGGGAGUACGGCCGCAAGGUUAAAACUCAAAGGAAUUGACGG
RNAcentral lists this ribosomal RNA (910 nucleotides) under uncultured bacterium. Its description in RNAcentral is "bacterial SSU rRNA". It matches the Rfam family "Bacterial small subunit ribosomal RNA", at positions 9 to 916 of the family's 1533-position model. The record is from RNAcentral.